Molecule: long non-coding RNA, 2142 nt
Filed under: Daucus carota (carrot)
Lineage: Eukaryota; Viridiplantae; Streptophyta; Magnoliopsida; Apiales; Apiaceae
Description: long non-coding RNA (DCAR_LNC002887)
Source: RNAcentral
UUCCCACACACUUUCCCUGGACCAUCUAUCAAUCUUCAUUUCUCAUUCCAAAGCUCUGUUUACAUUCAAUUUCAUUCCCUCACUUUACUUUGUGCUCUUUUCAUCCCAUUCCCAAAUUCACUUUUUCUAUUAAAACAAUAACUCUCAUCAUCCCAACCUCCACUUUGUUUCUCCCCUAAUCUCCCUUUUCCUUUUGUUAUUUAUAAAAAGAUUCUAUCUUUACAAAAACCCUUUGUUUUUCUUGUAUUUUUACAUAUAAAAUCAUACUCUACGAGCAUUAAAUUCAUCAAGCUUUCGUCUUUCUUGAUAUUUCUUAAAAAACAAAGAAAACCCCAAUGGGUAACACCGGCAGUAGCAGCAUAAACAGCCGCCGGCGACUCAUUAGUCNUUUGAGUAAAGUUAGAUGAAAAGUAGGUAUAGUGGUGGGAACCAUUUAUAUUUAAUAAUAGAUUUGAGAUAGUAGAGGAAAUUAGUGGGUGUAAUAGUGUUUAUAUUAUUAUAGAAUGGAGAUAGUGGAAGAAAGUAGUUGGUGUAAUGAUUUUUUAUAUUAUAAAAGUUUACUACUUUUGGGAUGUAUACAAUUGAUGGGACGUCCCAAAAAAGAAACUGUAUACUCCCUCCGUCCCAUUUUAAUUGACACUUAUUCCUUUUUGGGACGUCCCAAAAAGAAUGAACCUAUUAAACUUACUAUUUUUGAACACUACUUUUCACUAUUACACCCACUACUUUCUUCCACUAUCUCUAUUCUAUAAUAAUAUAAACACUAUUACACCCACUACUUUCCUCCACUAUCUCAAAUCUAUUAUUAAAAUUUUGAUGGGUCCCACCACUUUACCAACUUUUCAACCUUUUUACUACCUUUUUCUUAAUCUCCGUGAAAGUCAAAGCAGUUCAAUCUUUUCGGGACGGAGGGAGUACAAUUCAUUGGGACGGAGGUAGUAAUAUAAAAUGGAACAUCACAAAAGUCUUUUCCGCGAUGGAAUCAAAAAUUUAAAAUAACUGUGGCUAAAAUGAAAUGUUCUUAAUUUUUGGCCGCUGGCCGGCUUAAAUCAGAAAUUCUACUGCUUUUUAACUGAAAUUUGAGGUUUGAAAUAAAAUUCUACUAGAAUAUAUCUUCUGUAAUCAUGUAAAACUUGAGUUUUGUUAUUUUCUACCAAAUUAUUCAAUUUGUUUAUGAUAUUAUUCAUUUUGUGCAUAUUAAUUUUUUUGCCAUUCGGUAUUUUUCGAGUCGAACUCGAGUGCAUCGGAAUGGAGGUUUCUGCCUAUUAAUUCGUGUCCAAAAUGCCCGUUUCUAUAUAUUCUCUGGAGAGCAGAACGAACAAGCACUCCUACUUCUGCAGAUGAGAAGAUCCGUUGAAAUUUAAUGUCUACUAGAUUAUUCAACAAGUAUCAUCUUCGAGUUGAAUCCACACAAAUAAUUCGAUAUCAGUACCAUAUACCUUUUAAGUCCAUAUGAUCCAUUAUCACUGUGUAAAAAAAUGUUAACAGAACAAGGCUUUUUGAUGCUGGAGACAUAAGGAUACCAUAACAUCUACUACAUCCUAUCUGCAACUGGGAUUUAAUUACUGCAUGCAUGCUGAAAGAGUAAAAACAAAGAGGAAAUGAAACAAAUACGGAAAGAAAAAAAAAUCUGAUUUCCCCCUUCGGCAAUAUAAUUCAUCUUCAACCUAAGUUGCACAAAUUUAUCUUACAAGGUCUGUGUACAAUUUACUUUUCCAAACUCUACAUAUGAGCUAAUCAGUUAUUAGUGACUGCUUGUGUUAUGGUCUGUGUAAACCCAUAAUUUCGUAAGAGUAAACAAACAUAACCAUCCUGUUAGAAAUAGUUCUAAUAAUAUUCCCACACACUUUCCCUGGACCAUCUAUCAAUCUUCAUUUCUCAUUCCAAAGCUCUGUUUACAUUCAAUUUCAUUCCCUCACUUUACUUUGUGCUCUUUUCAUCCCAUUCCCAAAUUCACUUUUUCUAUUAAAACAAUAACUCUCAUCAUCCCAACCUCCACUUUGUUUCUCCCCUAAUCUCCCUUUUCCUUUUGUUAUUUAUAAAAAGAUUCUAUCUUUACAAAAACCCUUUGUUUUUCUUGUAUUUUUACAUAUAAAAUCAUACUCUACGAGCAUUAAAUUCAUCAAGCUUUCGUCUUUCUUG